RNAcentral lists this transfer RNA (76 nucleotides) under Methylobrevis pamukkalensis. Its description in RNAcentral is "tRNA-Ser". The record is from RNAcentral. Lineage: Bacteria; Pseudomonadati; Pseudomonadota; Alphaproteobacteria; Hyphomicrobiales; Pleomorphomonadaceae.
ACCGCGCCGGGGUGGAAAGCUGGUGCCGGCGGCUGGAGGCGGCCGAGGCGCUGGUGAUCGUCUCGCCGGUGUGGAA